GACGAACGCUGGCGGCGUGCUUAACACAUGCCAGUCGAACGGAAAGGCCUGCUUUCCCUUGUGGAUUGCGGGUACUCGAGUGGCGAACGGGUGAGUAACACGUGAGUGAUCUGCCCCCAACUUGGGUAUAAGCCUGGGAAACUGGGUCUAAUUCCCGAUAGGACUGCAGGGUGGUGCCUGUGGUGGAAAACGAUUUUCUAGUGGUUGGGGAUGAGCUCGCGGCCUAUCAGCUUGUUGGUGGGGUAAUGGCCUACCAAGGCGGCGACGGGUAGCCGGCCUGAGAGGGUGGACGGCCACAUUGGGACUGGGAUACGGCCCAGACUCCUACGGGAGGCAGCAGUGGGGAAUAUUGCACAAUGGGCGGAAGCCUGAUGCAGCGACGCCGCGUGGGGGAUGACGGCCUUCGGGUUGUAAACUCCUUUCGACCGCGAGGAAGCCACCUGGUUGGAAGGGUGGUGACGGUAGUGGUAGAAGAAGCACCGGCUAACUACGUG
Molecule: ribosomal RNA, 494 nt
Filed under: uncultured bacterium
Lineage: Bacteria
Description: partial 16S ribosomal RNA
Rfam family: Bacterial small subunit ribosomal RNA
Source: RNAcentral